GGUUUCGGGCCUGGAAGAUUACA
This 23-nucleotide small nuclear RNA is filed under the name Arabidopsis thaliana (thale cress). RNAcentral's name for it is "snRNA_18343". The record is from RNAcentral. Lineage: Eukaryota; Viridiplantae; Streptophyta; Magnoliopsida; Brassicales; Brassicaceae.